AGUUAGGGCGAUUAGAGACUUACCCUCUCCCAGGUCGCAAAGGAAAGCGCCUGUUUUGACACUGUCUGUUUCUUUGCAAUAAACUUUUGUAUAUAUGCAUUAAGACAUUUGUCAGCGAGGAUUUUUUCCCAAGAACACAUCACUGAAUACACCUUAAAUUUUGGCGUCACGGAUUGAGACAGCUUGUGAUGACUGCAGCCUGACGACUCGACGGUCCAGCUUUCUGCUCAGAGGCCAGUAAAGAGGUCUUAGUCAGGCAGAAUCCAGGAUCUGUGAAUACAUGAGGAAGAUGGCUCCCCAAAAUGCUCCAAGAAUGCCUCAGCUGUCUGAAGACAUAUGGUGAAGGAAAAAAGGAAGAGCUCCCAACUACAGGAACUACAGUAUCAUGGAUGAACAAGUCCCUGCAUGCAUCGACAGAUAGAAGAAGUGGCUGACAUCAAGAAAUACUCUUAAGUGCAUGUCUUUUGUCCUGUCCUUCUCCCCUCAUCCCAACCCGG
This is a long non-coding RNA of Archocentrus centrarchus (flier cichlid), 497 nucleotides long. RefSeq lists it as uncharacterized. Lineage: Eukaryota; Metazoa; Chordata; Actinopteri; Cichliformes; Cichlidae. The record is from RefSeq and is a predicted model, not a curated record. The transcript is spliced from 3 exons.